Molecule: ribosomal RNA, 313 nt
Filed under: Usnea patagonica
Lineage: Eukaryota; Fungi; Ascomycota; Lecanoromycetes; Lecanorales; Parmeliaceae
Description: partial 18S ribosomal RNA
Source: RNAcentral
UCCUUUCGGGUACAUCUGCCGAAACCUUAGUGGAUUGAUUAGGCGACUCUAAACAAGUAUAAUCCUCGGGGUUUGCCCCUGAGCACUAGCCAUCUCUUGUGGAUGGCGACAUUACCAGUGUGCGGGAACAUUCAAAUUUGUUGGAUAACCCGCAGCCACAAUGUGUGUCCCACAGGCUAAAUGGUAAUGGGCGUAGCUGCUAGGCACCUAUGCUUUAGAUAUAGUCGGUCCCCAGAUAUCUCUGGGAAACUAGUGGAUUUGGUUCCACAAGCGAGUAAACGUUCCGUAGGUGAACCUGCGGAAGGAUCAUUAC